RNAcentral lists this ribosomal RNA (429 nucleotides) under Chloroflexota bacterium. Its description in RNAcentral is "Chloroflexi bacterium partial 16S ribosomal RNA". It matches the Rfam family "Bacterial small subunit ribosomal RNA", at positions 355 to 776 of the family's 1533-position model. Lineage: Bacteria; Bacillati; Chloroflexota. The record is from RNAcentral.
UGGGGAAUAUUGCACAAUGGGCGCAAGCCUGAUGCAGCCAUGCCGCGUGUAUGAAGAAGGCCUUCGGGUUGUAAAGUACUUUCAGCGGGGAGGAAGGGAGUAAAGUUAAUACCUUUACUCAUUGACGUUACCCGCAGAAGAAGCACCGGCUAACUCCGUGCCAGCAGCCGCGGUAAUACGGAGGGUGCAAGCGUUAAUCGGAAUUACUGGGCGUAAAGCGCACGCAGGCGGGUUGUUAAGUCAGAUGUGAAAGCCCCGGGCUCAACCUGGGAACUGCAGCUGAUACUGGCAAGCUUGAGUCUCGUAGAGGGGGGUAGAAUUCCAGGUGUAGCGGUGAAAUGCGUAGAGAUCUGGAGGAAUACCGGUGGCGCAGGCGGCCCCCUGGACGAAGACUGACGCUCAGGUGCGAAAGCGGGGGGAGCAAACAGG